This 468-nucleotide ribosomal RNA is filed under the name uncultured bacterium. Its description in RNAcentral is "partial 16S ribosomal RNA". It matches the Rfam family "Bacterial small subunit ribosomal RNA", at positions 28 to 507 of the family's 1533-position model. The record is from RNAcentral.
GACGAACGCUGGCGGCGUGCUUAACACAUGCAAGUCGAACGGAAAGGCCCUGCUUUUGUGGGGUGCUCGAGUGGCGAACGGGUGAGUAACACGUGAGUAACCUGCCCUUGACUUUGGGAUAACUUCAGGAAACUGGGGCUAAUACCGGAUAGGAGCUCCUGCUGCAUGGUGGGGGUUGGAAAGUUUCGGCGGUUGGGGAUGGACUCGCGGCUUAUCAGCUUGUUGGUGGGGUAGUGGCUUACCAAGGCUUUGACGGGUAGCCGGCCUGAGAGGGUGACCGGCCACAUUGGGACUGAGAUACGGCACAGACUCCUACGGGAGCCAGAAGUGGGGAAUAUUGCACAAUAGGCGGAAGCCUGAUGCAGCAACGCCGCGUGCGGGAUGACGGCAUUCGGGUUGUAAACCGCUUUCGCCUGUGACGAAGCGUGAGUGACGGUAAUGGGUAAAGAAGCACCGGCUAACUACGUG